GGUGACGCUGGCGGUAGGCCUAACCAUGCAAGUCGAACGGCAGCACAGGAGAGCUUGCUCUCUGGGUGGCGAGUGGCGGACGGGUGAGGAAUGCAUCGGAAUCUACUCUGUCGUGGGGGAUAACGUNAGGGAAACUUACGCUAAUACCGCAUACGACCUACGGGUGAAAGCAGGGGACCUUCGGGCCUUGCGCGAUUGAAUGAGCCGAUGCCCGAUUAGCUAGUUGGCGGGGUAAGAGCCCACCAAGGCGACGAUCGGUAGCUGGUCUGAGAGGAUGAUCAGCCACACUGGAACUGAGACACGGUCCAGACUCCUACGGGAGGCAGCAGUGGGGAAUAUUGGACAAUGGGCGCAAGCCUGAUCCAGCCAUACCGCGUGGGUGAAGAAGGCCUUCGGGUUGUAAAGCCCUUUUGUUGGGAAAGAAAAGCAGCCGGUUAAUACCCGGUUGUUCUGACGGUACCCAAAGAAUAAGCACCGGCUAACUUCGUGCCAGCAGCCGG
RNAcentral lists this ribosomal RNA (500 nucleotides) under Xanthomonas boreopolis. Its description in RNAcentral is "bacterial SSU rRNA". It matches the Rfam family "Bacterial small subunit ribosomal RNA", at positions 33 to 518 of the family's 1533-position model. Lineage: Bacteria; Pseudomonadati; Pseudomonadota; Gammaproteobacteria; Lysobacterales; Lysobacteraceae. The record is from RNAcentral.